Molecule: ribosomal RNA, 460 nt
Filed under: uncultured bacterium
Lineage: Bacteria
Description: partial 16S ribosomal RNA
Rfam family: Bacterial small subunit ribosomal RNA
Source: RNAcentral
CCUACGGGAGGCAGCAGUGAGGAAUAUUGGUCAAUGGGCGUAAGCCUGAACCAGCCAAGCCGCGUGCGGGAUGAAGGUUCUAUGGAUCGUAAACCUCUUUUAUAAGGGAAUAAAGUGUGGGACGUGUCCUAUUUUGUAUGUACCUUAUGAAUAAGGAUCGGCUAACUCAGUGCCAAGAGCCGCGGGAAUACGGAGGAUCCGAGCGUUUUCCGGAUUUAUUGGGUUUAAAGGGGGCGUAGGGGGGUUUUUAAGUUAGGGGUGAAAGUCAGGGGCUCAACCACAGGAUUGCCGUUGAGACUGGGGAACUAGAGUUUGAUUGAGGCAAGCGGAAGGCGAGGUGAAGCGGGGAAAUGCGGAGAUAUCACGCAGAACACCGAUGGCGAAGGCAGCCUACCAAGUCAUUACUGACGCUGAUGGACGAAAGCGUGGGGAGCAAACAGGAUUAGAUACCCUUGUAGUC